This 468-nucleotide ribosomal RNA is filed under the name uncultured bacterium. Its description in RNAcentral is "partial 16S ribosomal RNA". It matches the Rfam family "Bacterial small subunit ribosomal RNA", at positions 28 to 507 of the family's 1533-position model. The record is from RNAcentral.
GACGAACGCUGGCGGCGUGCUUAACACAUGCCAGUCGAACGGAAAGGCCCUGCUUUUGUGGGGUGCUCGAGUGGCAAACGGGUGAGUAACACGUGAGUAACCUGCCCUUGACUUUGGGAUAACUUCAGGAAACUGGGGCUAAUACCGGAUAGGAGCUCCUGCUGCAUGGUGGGGGUUGGAAAGUUUCGGCGGUUGGGGAUGGACUCGCGGCUUAUUAGCUUGUUGGUGGGGUAGUGGCUUACCAAGGCUUUGACGGGUAGCCGGCCUGAGAGGGUGACCGGCCACAUUGGGACUGAGAUACGGCCCAGACUCCUACGGGAGGCAGCAGUGGGGAAUAUUGCACAAUGGGCGGAAGCCUGAUGCAGCAACGCCGCGUGCGGGAUGACGGCCUUCGGGUUGUAAACCGCUUUCGCCUGUGACGAAGCGUGAGUGACGGUAAUGGGUAAAGAAGCACCGGCUAACUACGUG